This 112-nucleotide unclassified non-coding RNA is filed under the name uncultured fungus. Its description in RNAcentral is "sequence contains ITS1". The record is from RNAcentral. Lineage: Eukaryota; Fungi.
CAAGUACGGGGCGCCAGUGCAGUAAAAUGCGCUGGGCCCCACACACACACAAGCACCACAGUCUGACUAUACACUACGCAGAAUCACGGCCUCAGGGCCACACCAAUCAAAA